Non-coding RNA from Myotis brandtii (Brandt's bat), 87 nucleotides. Lineage: Eukaryota; Metazoa; Chordata; Mammalia; Chiroptera; Vespertilionidae. The record is from Rfam.
AGAGGCCCUCCGUGGCCAGGGUGGAACACUUGCCUCGUCAUCGUGGCGACGAAGCAAGCAUUCCACCAGGCCGCUCACGCUGCCCGG